RNAcentral lists this ribosomal RNA (282 nucleotides) under Pelagomonas calceolata. RNAcentral describes it as "partial 18S ribosomal RNA". It matches the Rfam family "Eukaryotic small subunit ribosomal RNA", at positions 626 to 907 of the family's 1831-position model. Lineage: Eukaryota; Pelagophyceae; Pelagomonadales; Pelagomonadaceae. The record is from RNAcentral.
GCUCGUAGUUGGAUUCCUGACCUGGGGUAGCCGGUCCGCCUUGCAAAAGGUGCGCACUGAGCGGCCUCGGUCAUCCUUGAGAAGAGCGGUCCUGGCAUUCAGUUGUCGGGGUCGGGAUUCUCGACGUUUACUGUGAAAAAAUCAGAGUGUUCAACGCAGGCUUACGCCUUGAAUACAUUAGCAUGGAAUAAUGAGAUAGGACCUUGGCGGUCUAUUUUGUUGGUUUGCACGCCGAGGUAAUGAUUAAAAGGGACGGUUGGGGUUCUUCGUAUUCAAUUGUCA